This 3117-nucleotide ribosomal RNA is filed under the name Streptomyces actinomycinicus. RNAcentral describes it as "Bacterial large subunit ribosomal RNA". It matches the Rfam family "Bacterial large subunit ribosomal RNA". Lineage: Bacteria; Bacillati; Actinomycetota; Actinomycetes; Kitasatosporales; Streptomycetaceae. The record is from Rfam by way of RNAcentral.
GGCCAAGUUUUUAAGGGCGCACGGUGGAUGCCUUGGCACCAGGAACCGAUGAAGGACGUGGGAGGCCGCGAUAGUCCCCGGGGAGUCGUCAACCAGGCUUUGAUCCGGGGGUUUCCGAAUGGGGAAACCCGGCAGUCGUCAUGGGCUGUCACCCACUGCUGAACACAUAGGCAGUGUGGAGGGAACGAGGGGAAGUGAAACAUCUCAGUACCCUCAGGAAGAGAAAACAACCGUGAUUCCGGGAGUAGUGGCGAGCGAAACCGGAUGAGGCCAAACCGUAUGCGUGUGAGACCCGGCAGGGGUUGCGCAUGCGGGGUUGUGGGAUCUCUCUUUCACAGUCUGCCGGCUGUGAGACGAGUCAGAAACCGUUGAUGUAGGCGAAGGACAUGCGAAAGGUCCGGCGUAGAGGGUAAGACCCCCGUAGUCGAAACGUCAGCGGCUCGUUUGAGAGACACCCAAGUAGCACGGGGCCCGAGAAAUCCCGUGUGAAUCUGGCGGGACCACCCGCUAAGCCUAAAUAUUCCCUGGUGACCGAUAGCGGAUAGUACCGUGAGGGAAUGGUGAAAAGUACCCCGGGAGGGGAGUGAAAUAGUACCUGAAACCGUGUGCCUACAAGCCGUGGGAGCGUCGGAUGCAGCUUGCUGUAUCUCGUGACUGCGUGCCUUUUGAAGAAUGAGCCUGCGAGUUUGCGGUGUGUUGCGAGGUUAACCCGGGUGGGGAAGCCGUAGCGAAAGCGAGUCCGAACAGGGCGAUUCAGUAGCACGCUCAAGACCCGAAGCGGAGUGAUCUAGCCAUGGGCAGGUUGAAGCGGAGGUAAGACUUCGUGGAGGACCGAACCCACCAGGGUUGAAAACCUGGGGGAUGACCUGUGGUUAGGGGUGAAAGGCCAAUCAAACUCCGUGAUAGCUGGUUCUCCCCGAAAUGCAUUUAGGUGCAGCGUCGUGUGUUUCUUGCCGGAGGUAGAGCACUGGAUAGGCGAUGGGCCCUACCGGGUUACUGACCUUAGCCAAACUCCGAAUGCCGGUAAGUGAGAGCGCGGCAGUGAGACUGUGGGGGAUAAGCUCCAUGGUCGAGAGGGAAACAGCCCAGAGCAUCGACUAAGGCCCCUAAGCGUACGCUAAGUGGGAAAGGAUGUGGAGUCGCACAGACAACCAGGAGGUUGGCUUAGAAGCAGCCACCCUUGAAAGAGUGCGUAAUAGCUCACUGGUCUAGUGAUUCCGCGCCGACAAUGUAGCGGGGCUCAAGCGUACCGCCGAAGUCGUGUCAUUGCAGCAUAUAGCCCCAACGGGUGCUGUGAUGGGUAGGGGAGCGUCGUCUGCCGGGUGAAGCGGCACCGGAAGGUAGUCGUGGACGGUUGACGAGUGAGAAUGCAGGCAUGAGUAGCGAUACAAACGUGAGAAACGUUUGCGCCGAUUGACUAAGGGUUCCUGGGUCAAGCUGAUCUGCCCAGGGUAAGUCGGGACCUAAGGCGAGGCCGACAGGCGUAGUCGAUGGAUAACCGGUUGAUAUUCCGGUACCCGCUGUGAAGCGUCAAACAUCGAGCAUCGUGAUGCUAAGGCCGUGAAGCCGCCCCGGAGCCUUCGGGCAAAGGGGAGUGGUGGAGCCGCCGGACCAAGCGGUUAGUAGGUGAGUGAUGGGGUGACGCAGGAAGGUAGUCCAUCCCGGGCGGUGGUUGUCCCGGGGUAAGGGUGUAGGACGGUGUGUAGGCAAAUCCGCACAUCAUGUGUCUGAGACCUGAUGCCGAGCCGAUUGUGGUGAAGUGGAUGAUCCUAUGCUGUCGAGAAAAGCCUCUAGCGAGUUUCAUGGCGGCCCGUACCCUAAACCGACUCAGGUGGUCAGGUAGAGAAUACCGAGGCGUUCGGGUGAACUAUGGUUAAGGAACUCGGCAAAAUGCCCCCGUAACUUCGGGAGAAGGGGGGCCAUUCCUGGUGAUGAUCUUUACGGUCUGAGCUGGGGGUGGCCGCAGAGACCAGCGAGAAGCGACUGUUUACUAAAAACACAGGUCCGUGCGAAGCCGUAAGGCGAUGUAUACGGACUGACGCCUGCCCGGUGCUGGAACGUUAAGGGGACCGGUUAGCUCACUUUCGGGUGGGCGAAGCUGAGAACUUAAGCGCCAGUAAACGGCGGUGGUAACUAUAACCAUCCUAAGGUAGCGAAAUUCCUUGUCGGGUAAGUUCCGACCUGCACGAAUGGCGUAACGACUUCUCGACUGUCUCAACCAUAGGCCCGGUGAAAUUGCACUACGAGUAAAGAUGCUCGUUUCGCGCAGCAGGACGGAAAGACCCCGGGACCUUUACUACAGUUUGAUAUUGGUGUUCGGUUCGGCUUGUGUAGGAUAGCUGGGAGACUGUGAAGCUUGGACGCCAGUUCAGGUGGAGUCGUCGUUGAAAUACCAGUCUGGUCGUGCUGGAUGUCUAACCUGGGUCCGUGAUCCGGAUCAGGGACAGUGUCUGAUGGGUAGUUUAACUGGGGCGGUUGCCUCCCAAAGGGUAACGGAGGCGCCCAAAGGUUCCCUCAGCCUGGUUGGCAAUCAGGUGUUGAGUGUAAGUGCACAAGGGAGCUUGACUGUGAGACCGACGGGUCGAGCAGGGACGAAAGUCGGGACUAGUGAUCCGGCGGUGGCUUGUGGAAGCGCCGUCGCUCAACGGAUAAAAGGUACCCCGGGGAUAACAGGCUGAUCUUCCCCAAGAGUCCAUAUCGACGGGAUGGUUUGGCACCUCGAUGUCGGCUCGUCGCAUCCUGGGGCUGGAGUCGGUCCCAAGGGUUGGGCUGUUCGCCCAUUAAAGCGGUACGCGAGCUGGGUUUAGAACGUCGUGAGACAGUUCGGUCCCUAUCCGCUGUGCGCGUAGGAGUCUUGAGAAGGGCUGUCCCUAGUACGAGAGGACCGGGACGGACGAACCUCUGGUGUGCCAGUUGUUCUGCCAAGGGCAUGGCUGGUUGGCUACGUUCGGGAGGGAUAACCGCUGAAAGCAUCUAAGCGGGAAGCCUGCUUCGAGAUGAGGACUCCCACCCACUUGAUGGGGUAAGGCUCCCAGUAGACGACUGGGUUGAUAGGCCAGAUAUGGAAGCCUGGUAACGGGUGGAGUUGACUGGUACUAAUAGGCCGAGGGCUUGUCC